ACCUGGCUGGCUCAGUCGGUAGAGCGUGUGACUCUUAAUCUCAGGGUUGUGAGUUUGAGCCCCACAUUGGGCA
This 73-nucleotide transfer RNA is filed under the name Mustela putorius furo (domestic ferret). It matches the Rfam family "tRNA". Rfam says of the family: Transfer RNA (tRNA) molecules are approximately 80 nucleotides in length. Their secondary structure includes four short double-helical elements and three loops (D, anti-codon, and T loops). Further hydrogen bonds mediate the characteristic L-shaped molecular structure. tRNAs have two regions of fundamental functional importance: the anti-codon, which is responsible for specific mRNA codon recognition, and the 3' end, to which the tRNAs corresponding amino acid is attached (by aminoacyl-tRNA synthetases). tRNAs cope with the degeneracy of the genetic code in two manners: having more than one tRNA (with a specific anti-codon) for a particular amino acid; and 'wobble' base-pairing, i.e. permitting non-standard base-pairing at the 3rd anti-codon position. The record is from Rfam by way of RNAcentral. Lineage: Eukaryota; Metazoa; Chordata; Mammalia; Carnivora; Mustelidae. RNAcentral also lists the same sequence under 1 other name.